CUACGGGAUGCUCCAGUGAGGAAUAUUGCACAAUGGGGGGAACCCUGAUGCAGCAACGCCGCGUGGAGGAUGACGCAUUUCGGUGUGUAAACUCCUUUUAUAUGUCAAGAAAAUGACGGUAGCACAUGAAUAAGCACCGGCUAACUCCGUGCCAGCAGCCGCGGUAAUACGGAGGGUGCAAGCGUUACUCGGAAUCACUGGGCGUAAAGGACGCGUAGGCGGGUUGGAAAGUCAGGUGUGAAAUCCUACAGCUUAACUGUAGAACUGCACUUGAAACUUCUAAUCUAGAGUAUGGGAGGGGGAGAUGGAAUUAGUGGUGUAGGGGUAAAAUCCGUAGAUAUCACUAGGAAUACCUAAAGCGAAGGCGAUCUCCUGGAACAUUACUGACGCUAAGGCGUGAAAGUGUGGGGAGCAAACAGGAUUAGAUACCCUAGUAGUC
Molecule: ribosomal RNA, 439 nt
Filed under: uncultured bacterium
Lineage: Bacteria
Description: partial 16S ribosomal RNA
Rfam family: Bacterial small subunit ribosomal RNA
Source: RNAcentral